ACGGAGGGUGCAAGCGUUAUCCGGAAUCAUUGGGUUUAAAGGGUCCGCAGGCGGAUUUAUAAGUCAGUGGUGAAAGCCUACAGCUUAACUGUAGAACUGCCAUUGAUACUGUAAGUCUUGAAUUCGGUCGAAGUGGGCGGAAUGUGUAGUGUAGCGGUGAAAUGCAUAGAUAUUACACAGAACACCGAUAGCGAAGGCAGCUCACUAGGCCUGGAUUGACGCUCAGGGACGAAAGCGUGGGGAUCAAACAGGAUUAGAUACCCUGGUAGUCCACGCUGUAAACGAUGAUUACUCGUUUUCGGCGAUAUACAGUCGGAGACUAAGCGAAAGUGAUAAGUAAUCCACCUGGGGAGUACGAUCGCAAGGUUG
RNAcentral lists this ribosomal RNA (369 nucleotides) under uncultured bacterium. RNAcentral's name for it is "bacterial SSU rRNA". It matches the Rfam family "Bacterial small subunit ribosomal RNA", at positions 525 to 896 of the family's 1533-position model. The record is from RNAcentral.